This 301-nucleotide ribosomal RNA is filed under the name uncultured bacterium. Its description in RNAcentral is "partial 16S ribosomal RNA". It matches the Rfam family "Bacterial small subunit ribosomal RNA", at positions 509 to 809 of the family's 1533-position model. The record is from RNAcentral.
CAGUAGCCGCGGUAAUACGGAGGGUGCGAGCGUUAAUCGGAAUUACUGGGCGUAAAGGGAGCGUAGGCGGCGUGGUAAGUCAGAUGUGAAAUCCCGGGGCUCAACCCCGGAACUGCAUCCGAUACUGCCAUGCUAGAGGAUUGGAGAGGUAGCUGGAAUUCUUGGUGUAGCAGUGAAAUGCGUGGAGAUCAAGAGGAACACUCGUGGCGAAAGCGAGCUACUGGACAAUAACUGACGCUGAGGCUCGAAGGCCAGGGUAGCGAAAGGGAUUAGAGACCCCUGUAGUCCCUGUCUCUUAUAA